GAACUAGGGUCAAGGAGAACAAGUUCAUCUCCAUCCUAGAAAUUUAUACGAUUUAAUUAGUUAAGGUGAUUUAGGCUAAACUUUAUUCAGGCUAGGCUCUUGGGCUGAGAGAGAGUGUGAUGUCCUGGAAAACCUUUAGCCUCUUUUCUAUCUUCGUCUGAAAGAUACUGGUGUUGACAGUUUCAACCGGCUUCCCUGCUUCAUUUGUUGGAUCCAAAACUGCUGCAAGAAUAGCCUCCUCAAAGUCCUUGUUGUCUGGCAACAACUCAGACAAUCUCUCCUCUGUUUCGUCAGAUAGCCUUCUUGACUUGGUUUCU
This 317-nucleotide unclassified non-coding RNA is filed under the name Hevea brasiliensis (rubber tree). The record is from RNAcentral. Lineage: Eukaryota; Viridiplantae; Streptophyta; Magnoliopsida; Malpighiales; Euphorbiaceae.